CCGCGGGAUUAGAGUUUGAUCCUGGCUCAGAGCGAACGCUGGCGGCAGGCUUAACACAUGCAAGUCGAGCGGGCGUAGCAAUACGUCAGCGGCAGACGGGUGAGUAACGCGUGGGAACGUACCUUUUGGUUCGGAACAACACAGGGAAACUUGUGCUAAUACCGGAUAAGCCCUUACGGGGAAAGAUUUAUCGCCGAAAGAUCGGCCCGCGUCUGAUUAGCUAGUUGGUGAGGUAACGGCUCACCAAGGCGACGAUCAGUAGCUGGUCUGAGAGGAUGAUCAGCCACAUUGGGACUGAGACACGGCCCAAACUCCUACGGGAGGCAGCAGUGGGGAAUAUUGGACAAUGGGCGCAAGCCUGAUCCAGCCAUGCCGCGUGAGUGAUGAAGGCCCUAGGGUUGUAAAGCUCUUUUGUGCGGGAAGAUAAUGACGGUACCGCAAGAAUAAGCCCCGGCUAACUUCGUGCCAGCAGCCGCGGUAAUACGAAGGGGGCUAGCGUUGCUCGGAAUCACUGGGCGUAAAGGGUGCGUAGGCGGGUCUUUAAGUCAGAGGUGAAAUCCUGGAGCUCAACUCCAGAACUGCCUUUGAUACUGAGGAUCUUGAGUUCGGGAGAGGUGAGUGGAACUGCGAGUGUAGAGGUGAAAUUCGUAGAUAUUCGCAAGAACACCAGUGGCGAAGGCGGCUCACUGGCCCGAUACUGACGCUGAGGCACGAAAGCGUGGGGAGCAAACAGGAUUAGAUACCCUGGUAGUCCACGCCGUANACGAUGAAUGCCAGCCGUUAGUGGGUUUACUCACUAGUGGCGCAGCUAACGCUUUAAGCAUUCCGCCUGGGGAGUACGGUCGCAAGAU
Molecule: ribosomal RNA, 851 nt
Filed under: uncultured Alphaproteobacteria bacterium
Lineage: Bacteria; Pseudomonadati; Pseudomonadota; Alphaproteobacteria
Description: bacterial SSU rRNA
Rfam family: Bacterial small subunit ribosomal RNA
Source: RNAcentral